GACGAACGCUGGCGGCGUGCUUAACACAUGCAAGUCGAACGGCAAGGCCCUGCUUUUGUGGGGUGCUCGAGUGGCGAACGGGGGAGUAACACGUGAGUAACCUGCCCUUGACUUUGGGGUAACUUCAGGAGGCUGGGGCUAAUACCGGAUAGGAGCUCAUGCUGCAGGGUGGGGGUUGGAAAGUUUCGGCGGUUGGGGAUGGACUCGCGGCUUAUCAGCUUUUUGGUGGGGUAGUGGCUUACCAAGGCUUUGACGGGUAGCCGGCAUGAGAGGGUGACCGGCCACAUUGGGCCUGAGAUACGGCCCAGACUCCUACGGGAGGCAGCAGUGGGGAAUAUUGCACAAUGGGCGGAAGCCUGAUGCGGCAACGCCGCGUGCGGGAUGACGGCCUUCGGGGUGUAAACUGCUUUCGCCUGUGACGAAGCGUGAGUGACGGUAAUGGGUAAAUAAGCACCGGCUAACUACGUG
This 468-nucleotide ribosomal RNA is filed under the name uncultured bacterium. RNAcentral describes it as "partial 16S ribosomal RNA". It matches the Rfam family "Bacterial small subunit ribosomal RNA", at positions 28 to 507 of the family's 1533-position model. The record is from RNAcentral.